UGAUAGCGUAGAAGCGUGAGGUUGCUGCCGCAAGGCAGGUUUUCCGUGGAGCGAAUGUCAAGGCCGGUAUUAACCGGCAGAUGAACCUGGCGACAA
Non-coding RNA from Eubacterium sp. CAG:86, 96 nucleotides. NCBI's taxonomy places the organism in Bacteria, Bacillati, Bacillota, Clostridia, Eubacteriales, Eubacteriaceae. The record is from Rfam.